RNAcentral lists this ribosomal RNA (583 nucleotides) under Pseudomonas sp. StFRB364. RNAcentral describes it as "bacterial SSU rRNA". It matches the Rfam family "Bacterial small subunit ribosomal RNA", at positions 102 to 681 of the family's 1533-position model. RNAcentral also lists the same sequence under 2 other names. Lineage: Bacteria; Pseudomonadati; Pseudomonadota; Gammaproteobacteria; Pseudomonadales; Pseudomonadaceae. The record is from RNAcentral.
ACGGGUGAGUAAUGCCUAGGAAUCUGCCUGGUAGUGGGGGAUAACGUUCGGAAACGAACGCUAAUACCGCAUACGUCCUACGGGAGAAAGCAGGGGACCUUCGGGCCUUGCGCUAUCAGAUGAGCCUAGGUCGGAUUAGCUAGUUGGUGAGGUAAUGGCUCACCAAGGCGACGAUCCGUAACUGGUCUGAGAGGAUGAUCAGUCACACUGGAACUGAGACACGGUCCAGACUCCUACGGGAGGCAGCAGUGGGGAAUAUUGGACAAUGGGCGAAAGCCUGAUCCAGCCAUGCCGCGUGUGUGAAGAAGGUCUUCGGAUUGUAAAGCACUUUAAGUUGGGAGGAAGGGCAGUUACCUAAUACGUGAUUGUUUUGACGUUACCGACAGAAUAAGCACCGGCUAACUCUGUGCCAGCAGCCGCGGUAAUACAGAGGGUGCAAGCGUUAAUCGGAAUUACUGGGCGUAAAGCGCGCGUAGGUGGUUUGUUAAGUUGGAUGUGAAAUCCCCGGGCUCAACCUGGGAACUGCAUUCAAAACUGACUGACUAGAGUAUGGUAGAGGGUGGUGGAAUUUCCUGUGUAGCGG